GCUGGCGGCAGGCCUAAAACAUGCAAGUCGAGCGCCCAGCAAUGGGAGCGGCGGACGGGUGAGUAACACGUGGGAAUGUACCUUUCGGUUCGGAACAACUCAGGGAAACUUGAGCUAAUUCCUGAUACGCCCUUACGGGGAAAGAUUUAUCGCCGAAAGAUCAGCCCGCGUUGGAUUAGCUAGUUGGUGAGGUAACGGCCCACCAAGGCGACGAUCCAUAGCUGGUUUGAGAGAACGACCAGCCACACUGGGACUGAGACACGGCCCAGACUCCUACGGGAGGCAGCAGUUGGGAAUCUUGGACAAUGGAGGAAACUCUGAUCCAGCCAUGCCGCGUGAGUGAUGAAGGCCUUCGGGUUGUAAAACUCUUUCGACGGGGACGAUAAUGACGGUACCCGUAGAAGAAGCUCCGGCUAACUUCGUGCCAGCAGCCGCGGUAAUACGAAGGGGGCUAGCGUUGUUCGGAAUUACUGGGCGUAAAGCGCGCGCAGGCGGCUCUCCAAGUCAGUGGUGAAAGCCCGGGGCUCAACCCCGGAACUGCCAUUGAAACUGUUGAGCUUGAGUACGAGAGAGGUGAGUGGAAUUCCCAGUGUAGAGGUGAAAUU
RNAcentral lists this ribosomal RNA (605 nucleotides) under uncultured soil bacterium. Its description in RNAcentral is "bacterial SSU rRNA". It matches the Rfam family "Bacterial small subunit ribosomal RNA", at positions 35 to 688 of the family's 1533-position model. The record is from RNAcentral.